RNA transcript from Xiphophorus hellerii (green swordtail), 4579 nucleotides. It is a transcript of the gene named epithelial splicing regulatory protein 2, with no coding region annotated. NCBI's taxonomy places the organism in Eukaryota, Metazoa, Chordata, Actinopteri, Cyprinodontiformes, Poeciliidae. The record is from RefSeq and is a predicted model, not a curated record. The transcript has 16 exons.
AAAACCUUCAGGGCUUGUUAUGGAGUUCGUGUGAAGGAAACACGGAUUUCCACCCUUCUUUACCAGUCAAACCAGUAUCUCUGGAUAGUACACGCUCAAGUACAGCAACAGUUUUUACCCUUGUGGUCCCUGAUGGCUUCGCACAGUGAUACUCUGGUGGUGUUCUUUGGGGCAACAGCUGGUGCAAAUGGGGGUAAACUGGGUUCGGAUGAAAGGGAAAUAAUUCUCUUGGUGUGGCAAAUUGUGGAUCUACAUGAGAAAAAGGUUGGGAAGCUUCAUAAAUGUUUCGUCAAGCCAGACACUUUGGAGCUGACAGAUCAGUGUAAAGAAGAGACUGGGUUGACGUUGGAGGACAUCGUUGAUGCUGAGCCCCUGGACAAAGUUCUGGAACAGAUUCAGCAGUCUGUGACAUCAGAAGUAAAAUGCCUCGGCAGAAGUUCGUACACACUCUUUGUGAACGGUCCUCUAAUAAUUCGACAGGCCCUCCACCCAGAAGCCUCCAAAAAGAAUCUUGUACUACCAGAGUGUUUCUUUUCAUUUGUGGACCUGCGGAAAGAGUUUCUCAAAUGCUGCCCGAAUGCCAGCUCUGUGCAGAAGCUCACACUCUCCUCCAUGUUGGAUUAUGUUGGUCUCCCUGCGGUGUCAGAGCAGAUGAUAGGUGUGAGGGAGGUGAACAGCAUGGUGCAGCUGACGCUCUGCAUCCUGGAUGAGCCAUACAAUCACAAAUUCUACUGUGCUGAAACUGUGAAUACCAAGUUUGACUCUGGCACAUGCAGUAAGAUGGAGCCGGUGGACAGCGAGACGGUGAUCAGAGCAAGGGGCCUUCCAUGGCAGUCCUCAGACCAGGAUAUUGCUCGUUUCUUUAAGGGACUCAAUAUUGCCAAGGGCGGCGUGGCCCUCUGUCUGAACGCUCAGGGCCGGAGGAACGGGGAAGCCUUGGUUCGGUUCAUCAACGCAGAGCACAGAGACCUGGCUCUGGAGCGCCACAAACAUCACAUGGGCAGCAGAUAUAUUGAAGUCUACAAAGCGACGGGAGAAGAAUUUCUCAAAAUUGCUGGAGGGACGUCCAAUGAGGUGGCCCAGUUCCUGUCUAAAGAGAACCAGGUGAUCAUACGAAUGCGUGGGUUACCGUUCACGGCGACGACACAGGAAGUGCUGUCCUUCCUCGGUCCUGAGAGUCCCGUCACGGACGGCCCAGAGGGGCUCCUCUUUGUCAAAUACCCCGACGGACGGCCCACUGGUGAUGCCUUCGUGCUUUUCUCCUGUGAGGAAUACGCUCAGAACGCUCUGAAGAAGCACAAACAGAUUCUGGGGAAGCGGUAUAUCGAGUUGUUUCGGAGCACUGCAGCCGAGGUGCAACAGGUUCUGAAUCGUUACAUGUCCACACCUCUGAUCUCCACGCUGCCUCCAUCACCCAUCGUACCGCUUCCAGUCCUCUCCACGCCUCCCUUUCUGCCGACGGCUAGCAGCACGCGCGACUGCGUGCGGCUCCGCGGGCUGCCGUACACCGCCGGCAUCGAGGACAUCCUGGAGUUCAUGGGCGACCAUACGGUUGACAUCAAGACUCAUGGAGUCCACAUGGUCCUUAACCAGCAGGGCCGACCCUCUGGCGAUGCCUUCAUCCAAAUGAAGUCACCUGACAAAGCGUUCUUGGUGGCCCAAAAGUGCCACAAAAAGACAAUGAAGGACCGUUAUGUUGAGGUCUUCCAGUGCUCCACAGAGGAGAUGAGCAUUGUUCUGAUGGGAGGAACGCUGAACCGCAGCGGCCUCUCUCCUCCACCCUGCAAACUGCCCUGUCUGUCGCCUCCUACAGCUUAUGCUGCCUUCCCCACUCCACCUACCAUCCUCUCUGAAGCGGCCCUGUACCAGCCUCCCCUGCUGGCGGCUCCCCGGGGCCCUCCGACCACCAUGCACAGCCCUGCUCACGCUCUGGCCUACUACCCCCCUCAGCCCCAUCUCUAUAUGAACAUGAACAUGAAUUACACUGCUUACUACCCCAGCCCCCCGGUUUCUCCCUCCGCUGUCAGCUACUUUGCGGCUCCACCAGGCGCCAUGGCGGCUGCAGUGGCGGCCGGAGCCCACCCGGUUGCGGCGUCGGCCCACCCGGCUGCGGCCGCUGCCUCCUCCGUCCUGCCGCAGCCGGGCGCCCUGGUCAGGAUGCAGGGUCUGCCGUACAACACCGGAGUCAAAGACAUCCUCAGCUUCUUCCAGGGUUAUCAGGUGAGAACAAAGGCAUUAACAGAAAUUCCUUGUUUAAAAUUCAUGCUCAGCAAUUUUUAUUUUAAAUCAGAAUCCUACAGUUUUAGAACCUGAAAAAAAAGACAACUGAUUAGUUCAUUUGGUUGAUAAUUUAUUUUGCAUCCUAUUUCUGCUGCACCACAAAACUUUAAGUGAUUUUUAUUUUUAUUUUCCCAAAUACUGAACUUUUCACGCACUUUGCAACAACAUGCAGUGGAGUGUUGCAAACUGCACUGUUUUAAUUAAGUUACAUGUGUUCACUUGUGCUCUCCUGCUCCUCUUUGCUGCAAUACUUAUUGCUGCCAGCCUGAAUUAGGUGGAGUCCGCUGAUGCAGGUAUGAAUCAUGACAGAUGUUUUCACGUAGGAAAGCGGUGGGUUUGAGGCAGGGGGCAGGUUCUGGUGCUGCUGUUUUUCAUUGGGGCAGAUAUCUUGGCUCUGCUGCUGGUCUUUCUUUCGUUCAUUCACACCAACAAGGAAGCAAUUUUAAGUUUAAGUUUUGGAGAAAUGUAGGUACGCUUUGUGUGUAUGUGUUUUUUUUUUUUUGAAAGCUGAGUGUCACUGUUUAAUGAAUUUGUUGUUUUCUAGAUUCUGUAGGUGAUAUGUGUGUUUUCUGGCUCCAGUAUGAUUUCCCACACACAGGUCCUGAGAAAGAAAACUGUCUCUUUGUAGAGAUCCUCAAACUUUCAAUACUCUUAUCUGUUUUUAAAUGUGACCAGUAUUUGGUGAAUUUCUCUUUUGUUUCAGUGUGGUUUUAUUUUGAGUUUGUUUUUUUUUUUUUUGGUCAUCUUUCUACCCAUCUGUAUCUUUUGUGUGAGUGUAAAAAACGUGCAUUGUGAUGUCUAACCCAAUGUUGAGGUCCCUCCAGCCUGACUGUGUGUUCAUCGUUGUACUGUAUCUGUAGUACGCCCCUGACGAGUACAGCGGCUUGGUUCAGAUGAACGAACAGGCCAGGAGUCUGAUUCAGCCCAAAGAAUGGCUCUGCCUUUAGGGCUCACCCCAAGCUCCAACCAGACGCCGUACUUAUCUUGUAUAACUUCAGCGGUCAGUGCAGCGGCGAAGCCCUGAUCACCUUCCCCAACGAGGGCAUUGCCCGGCGCGCCAUAGCCGAGUUCUCAGGCCAACCUUUCUACGGCCAGCUGAUCCACUUGGUUUUCUGUAACUGACCACCAGCUCUCCAUCUUUCAUCCCCUUUCUAAUAGAAACGCCUCCAAACUCUUUACAGAGAACCUGCCGAACUCUUCCCUCUCUGUAUGAUCUGUAUUUUGACCACACACCUCUCCGCUGGUCCUCACACUCCUAAAGCUGCUGCUGGAGUCGGGCCUUCCACAGACGAAGCAGCUUGACGCUGGACUUUGUGACUUUGCUCCUGCUGGUGGGGCAGGAUUAGCGUGAAGCCUGGACAGAGCAUGCAGCCACUCUGCAAAGCCAAACUUGGAGAUAAAUGUAUUCUCUUCGAAACUGUACAGACCUGUCUCCUGAAAUGCUUGAGGCUGUAUAUGCAUUUAUACACGUUUGUCUUUAUAUUUCUGAACUUUAACCACUUACAGAUUUAGAGUUUUGUGUUUAUGAACAUUUUUGUUAGCUGCAGAAAGAAAUGUUUGGAGGCUAAAUAUUCUCCAGCAGUUUAGUUAUGAUGAUGAAAAUGUCUAAGCCAUAAGGACUACUUUAUAUUUCUGAAACAAAGUCAAUCAGCAUGCUAAAACUGUCAUGAUUUAAAUUGUAGCUAGUAAGUGACUUUAAGCUUCAGGGAAUACUAGUUUAUACUACUGUGUAGCACAUCUGUGUCAGUGUAUGAAUUAAUCUGUGACUUUUUUUAAAAAGCAUUUAUUUUGUGACCACCAGCAUGUCUAAACCUCUAAGUAUUUUCUAAGCACUACAGAUGUUUUGGGUUGCUCCACUCGCAGAGACACUACGCUGAACAUCUUUAACAGUAAAUUAAUUCUAGUUUCAUUGACACUUAUUUACAAAAGCUGAGACUUUAUUAAAUGUAAAAAUUACUUAGGUUUUUUUCCUGCAGUCUUGCAUAUUGAUUGACCCGGAGCAGCUGCUUCUUUGGUUUUUGUUUUCUGACUAAAACAGCCAGUCUGCACCAUGAUUCAGUUCCUGUGAACAACCAGAGAGACGUGUAAAACUGCAGGAGCCUUUUUUUCUUCCUUCCUGUGAGAGGCCUACUGAAUUGUCUUAGUUUUUUCUCUUCACCAAGCCUACAUUACCCAGAGUGCAAUACUGGCCCACAGGAGGCAUAGGAGCCUCUGGUGGCAGAUUUGUUUUGUUGCGAUGUAAAGAUGCAUGAAUUUAGGUCUAUGUAUAAAAUGUAAACAAUAAAAAUAUCAACAAAUA